CAGCCCCAACACCAUGCAGCAGUCAUAUCAUGUACCAGUACAUCAUUUACAUAUAGUCAUUUGGUCCAAAGUUAGAGUAAUUAUGGUGAAUACU
Molecule: long non-coding RNA, 94 nt
Organism: Alosa sapidissima (American shad)
Lineage: Eukaryota; Metazoa; Chordata; Actinopteri; Clupeiformes; Clupeidae
Exons: 3
Source: RefSeq, a predicted model, not a curated record